GUUCACGCCUCGUGCUUCUUGAUGAAAGUAUUUUGUUUUCGGACAUCAUGACGCACAUUUUAGUGAAAUGCUUUAACGACGAUAAGUGGGACGUUUAUCCGGUGAAGUGGUUGGCUCACCCAACAACUAGUCUUGCGAGUCUGACGGUUUUGAUGAGUUGCGCGGCAGAGGCCAUGAUGCCUGUUGGAGAGAAGGCACCCCGAAACAGUCGCAGCCGCACUUCUAAAGAUAGGUUACGUAUGCAGUAAAUUCCCAGAUGCUAAAGUGUUCUACGCCAAAAGCACCUUGGCGUCGUGCAAGAGACACCCGUUGAUAUGUGGCUGAUUCACUAGCAAGCUCGCAUCUCUGUUCCCAAUCUCCAUCAAGUGGGAUUUUCUACUAUUUUCUGUGUUACUCUGUGGUGUACUAGCUGCUGCAUGGACGCUGUGAAGGCUUACUUUCGAUUUGCUCUGGCGUUUAGUAGUAAAGGAUAGGCUACCUUUUGAGGGGAGGCAUUUACUUUUGUUUGUGAGAAUGUUGUAUAUAUUGCUGUAUAUAUUUACGUGAAGUCAUUUGUUUCAAGUUGGUUAUUUUGCCUUCUCACAGUAAGCCGUAGCUCUUCCUGUGAUGUGUUAGUGUGCGCAACAUUUUAAUGUAACAUAUUCAGAUGUCUUUUGUGUAUUUACAUGCAAGAAGCUCCAAGUGUUCAUGUGUUCAAAGUUGGUUGUUACAAGGGUAUGCUUAAGCCCUGCCUUUUGAGUCGCUUUGCCUUCUAGUCAUAAACUUAUGCUGAAUUCCAAUGGCGGAGUGGGAGCACGUUUUUCUGCUCGUUUCGGAGCAAGUUUGUUCCAAUGGCAGAGUGAGGGCGGGAGUAAGGUGUUCCAAUGAGAGAGUCGGAGUGGAUUCAGAGCGGGAGUCACUCCGUGGAGUAGAAAAAGAUGCUCCGCCAAAAUCGGCGGAGUGGACCGGAACUCUGCGUGACGUAUUUCCUUUACCACGUUUGUCUGCUGGGAGGCGCCACCGGUCAUGACUCGCGAGGAAGCAAAAGCUGCUGCACGCUUGGCGAGAUAUCCAUUCCACACUUAAAAAAAAACAACAGGUGAACGGCGCUGAAGAGACAAGUGACCGGUGCGGCGGUGCUGGGAGUAAACAGCGGAAGGAAAUGACAACACGCAAGGCAUUCUGGGUAACUCGGUGAUAGAACUUUCGCUUCCGCCUUGCUCCGGCGGCGCAGGUUGCGUUUCACUCGCGGAUCUGGAGGCGUUGCUCUGCGCCAGAGUCGAGUGCUCGCUCGCGGAGUCCGUCGGCUGUUCCGACUACGCCAUUGGAAUUCAACAUUAAGUCGAAAGUGAAGAGCACAAUGAUCGUUUUGCUUGGAUUCAUAUGUAUAGGUUUUUUCAGAUGUAUUUACACUGCUAGAGUGCUGUAGGUACUAGCCUGUGUCUCCAGGUUCGAUGUAGUGGUGCCUUAUGUACUGUAAUAAUGUUUCACGUGCACACAUCUUUAGUGUAAAUAAAGGUACUUCAAGUUGA
Molecule: long non-coding RNA, 1511 nt
Organism: Dermacentor albipictus
Lineage: Eukaryota; Metazoa; Arthropoda; Arachnida; Ixodida; Ixodidae
Source: RefSeq, a predicted model, not a curated record